GACGAACGCUGGCGGCGUGCUUAACACAUGCAAGUCGGACGGAAAGGCCCUGCUUUUGUGGGGUGCUCGAGUGGCGAACGGGUGAGUAACACGUGAGUAACCUGCCCUUGACUUUGGGAUAACUUCAGGAAACUGGGGCUAAUACCGGAUAGGAGCUCCUGCUGCAUGGUGGGGGUUGGAAAGUUUCGGCGGUUGGGGAUGGACUCGCGGCUUAUCAGCUUGUUGGUGGGGUAGUGGCUUACCAAGGCUUUGACGGGUAGCCGGCCUGAGAGGGUGACCGGCCACAUUGGGACUGAGAUACGGCCCAGACUCCUACGGGAGGCAGCAGUGGGGAAUAUUGCACAAUGGGCGGAAGCCUGAUGCAGCAACGCCGCGUGCGGGAUGACGGCCUUCGGGUUGUAAACCGCUUUCGCCUGUGACGAAGCGUGAGUGACGGUAAUGGGUAAAGAAGAACCGGCUAACUACGUG
This 468-nucleotide ribosomal RNA is filed under the name uncultured bacterium. RNAcentral describes it as "partial 16S ribosomal RNA". It matches the Rfam family "Bacterial small subunit ribosomal RNA", at positions 28 to 507 of the family's 1533-position model. The record is from RNAcentral.